This 238-nucleotide ribosomal RNA is filed under the name uncultured bacterium. RNAcentral's name for it is "partial 16S ribosomal RNA". It matches the Rfam family "Bacterial small subunit ribosomal RNA", at positions 96 to 334 of the family's 1533-position model. The record is from RNAcentral.
UGGCGGACGGGUGAGUAACGCGUGGGUAACCUGCCUCACACUGGGGGACAACAGUUAGAAAUGACUGCUAAUACCGCAUAAGCGCACAGGACCGCAUGGUCCGGUGUGAAAAACUCCGGUGGUGUGAGAUGGACCCGCGUUUGAUUAGCUAGUUGGUGGGGUAACGGCCUACCAAGGCGACGAUCAAUAGCCGACCUGAGAGGGUGACCGGCCACAUUGGGACCGAGACACGGCCCAA